GGUACGGCCCCGUGUGCCCCCCCCAACCCGUCCCCGAGGAGCGACGCCGAAGGAGCGGGACCGACUCACUCAUGGGAGCGCGGCGGGCGAGGCCGGCGACACCUCCGGCUUCCGAGGCGCCGGCGAAGUUAAUUGCACUGAAGUUCAAGUUGUCUUUUCACCCAUCAGGAGUGGGCGUUUAAAGGAAGGAGAGCGAGGAGGAGGAGGGGGAGGGGGAAGGGGGAGAGUCGCUCUCGCUCUCGCUCGCUCUCGCACACACACACACACACACACACGCGCGCACACGCGUGCACACGCAUGCACGCGCGCACACACACGCACACACAGGCACACACAAACACACCCGCCCGCUCGGCUCCGCUCCCGAGCUGCCUCAGCAAGGAGGAGCCCGGACGGAAAACACCCGGGCAGCAAGGUGAAGGAAGUAUAUCAUUCUGACACCUGAAAAGUCCAGGAUCUCUCUAGAAAAUGAUGGAGCUUCUCUCAUCACCAAUUUUCUAUAGCCAAAGAAGCCCCAGCUACCUACUGUGUGGGAGGAGAGGCUCUAAACCAUAAACAGGCCAAUAAUACGUCACACCAUCUGAUUGCAAUGAAUGCGAAAGUAAAAGAUGGUUGGAACGGUGCCGGCGAAAGGUUGUUUCAGCUGGAGCAGAGGAGAGAAGGUUGUCCAA
Molecule: long non-coding RNA, 671 nt
Filed under: Strigops habroptila (Kakapo)
Lineage: Eukaryota; Metazoa; Chordata; Aves; Psittaciformes; Psittacidae
Description: lncRNA (ENSSHBG00005002105.1)
Source: RNAcentral